AAGAAAAAGAAUGAAAGACGGGAAAGCGGCGCUCGGUGUCAGGAAAAUGCAUAGUGGGAGGAAAGUGCGCAGGUGCGCCCAGAGCGCGGAGAGGGGCGCGCAGGCCCGGGGUGCGCGCCUCCCCUCGCGGUGUCGGAGAGAUACGCACCCUUCCACCUAGUAGGGCGGCGGGCGGUCGGGGUCGCGGAGUGCUGGGCGGCUCUGGGUACCUGAGACGGGCAGCGGCGACGUCUAACAUGAGAAACUUCCCAUCGCCACCUUUUUCCAUAGUCCCUUGGGGGCGUGUAGCCUGCGGACGUCAGGCCGCCACCCUGCCGCGGACAACUAACUACCCUCAGUACUUCCCCGACCCCAAACUCGGAGACUUUUCUAAGAGCCACACCACCAAGUAACCUUGAGUCCUGUGGGUCAAUGGAGGGGUAAGCCCCCCUCAAUUCUUUGACCCCCUGGGAUCGUAACCAGGGCUGAGACGAAGAGGCCUGGCCGUGGGUGUAUGGAGGAGAAACGUCUCAGGCUCACUCAAGUCGCCUCCCCAGUCCUCCCCCGCCACCCGCCUGGCGCCAUCCCAGCAGGCUUGGGAACCUGUGCUUCCCGGGGCUUCUCUCUCGAAUUUAGUGGCACGCAGGGCUGGGGCUGACCUGCGCUGGGAGAGCCGGGGGAAGGAGCGAGAGAGGGAGGGGGCGGCUGCCUGUGGGAACGCGGGUUCUUGCAGGGAAGCGGACCGAAACUGCCGCGUUCCCCUCGAUUUGCACCGUCACUCGGGCUGUUUUGAAAGAAGAGGGGAAGCGUUGAGCGUGCCAUCGUGCACCUGGAUCUGGGUGCACAGUGUGUACGUAUGACUGUACCGCUGCGUGAGUUUUCAGGGCUUUGGUACCUAGCGUCCGGGCAGAGUUCGAGGGUCACCUCCAGAAACUGGCAGAAAUUGGAAGGGGUGAGAGGAGGACACACCCCUUUCCUUGGACCGACUUGGAACACUUUGAAUCUCCCCUCCCCCACUUUUCCGCCCUGGCUCUUCUUUUGUUGUCAAGUCCUUUUGAUAAAUGGUGGGGCUGGGAGCGCUGGGAGCCCGGAGCCAGCCGGUGCCCGCGCAGGGGCGGGGGCCGAGCCUGGAGACCCGGUUUGGACCGGCGCGCACCCGGCGCUGAGCCGGGUCUGGAACCCUGGAACCUGCCCUCGGCGUGCUCGCCCUCUCCCUCCCCACCCUGCUCCCCUCCCCCUGCGUCUCUGUCUCCCACUCCGCACGGGUGCCGAGAACUUUCUGGGAAUCAACAGGAUUUCUCCGGCUGUCGUUUGCGUUGCAUUUAUCCGAAUAAAUCCAGCUCGCAGGCAUCAGGCAGAGAACGGCUCCUGGCUCGAGUGCAGGCAGACGCCUCGGCCCAGCGCAGGACAGGACGCGAGGGGGCUCCUCCUGCUCCGGCGCCUGCGGGUCCGGUCUUUGAGGAAGUCUGGACGAGCUGCGCCCCCAGGUCCAGUGGUCUCUUGCUGCCCCGCAGUGCCUGGCACCCCCGCCCCACCUCUGCCCCGACCUCUGCCGAUGCUUUGGAAAUGCGCCUGGCCAAGUCCGUCCGCAGCGAAACUGAAAGCAAAUUCCCCGGCAGAGACAGCUCGAACUUUCUCCGACGCAAGUUAGCAACAGAGAUGGAGUGGAGGCUCCGGAAGGACAGUGCGCUAGUGUGAGCGCGUGCGGGGUGGGGCGGAGGAAGAGGAGUGAAGAGGGCACUGGGUGGCCGGGCCUGGCUGGCGGCGAAACGCUAGGGAAGGCAUCUCGUCUUCCUUAUUUCUGGGCAACUUCUAUGCCCCUAAUGGUAAAAAUAGUUUCCAAGCUGCCUCGGACGCCCAGGAUGUGUUUGUAGAGAUCACAGUGGGGAAGAUGCGGCUUUGGAAAAGUUGGCAAAAGAGCUUUACCCAGAAUGGUCCCCCCGGCGGGGUUCAGGAAAGCUUGAGACCAGCUGGCUUCCUUCGGGGUGGAAUGGCCAGGAAUCGGCCUGAGGAACCAACUCCCUGCCCACUUCUCUGCCCUCACCUCCAACUAAGGCUUAAAUAACCUACCACCGCUUGCGCUGCAAACUUCCCCGCGUGGUCGGCGGGCGAGGCCUGGACGCAGAGGGGGCCCACAAGACUGCUCCUCGGUGCGCUGGGCCCCAGCCCUGAGAGAGGCUUGAACGGAGGUGGGAGGACUAGUGUGGUUUCCGCUCCCACUUGGCUUGUCCAGACCCUCAUGGCAGAUCCCCCAACUCCCGGGAGCUGGCGCUUCCCCCUGAGACCCACAAUCUUGGGGGGCCGGCUAGGGCGCAAAGUGCGCGCGCGGGCCCGCGCGGGGGCGGCCGCCAGUCUCUCUCUCCGCGGGGCCUGUCGCCGGGCCGGCCACGGCGGGUGAGUGAUGAGGGCAGAGAAGGGCGCCCAUAAAUCGCGGGUGUCAGGGCGAAAAACUCUCUUUAUUGUCUGCGUGAUGGAUGGGCCCGGGGACGAGACACCAAAUACUUCGUAUCGCCUUUAAAUGGGAACACAUUUUCCGCGGCCAUAAUUCAUGUUUUUUAAAUAGAAAGUUUGAAAUGUUGCCUAUAUUUCACCGGCCCUGACAUAUUUAUGAAUCGCUCCCUGCAUGCAAAUAUCAUUAUUUAAAGCGCCGGGGAGAGCGCGGGGGAGGGGAGGAGGCGCGGCCCCCGGGGCAUGGGGGUGGUGAGCCGGGGAAAUGUCGGUGGAGGGGGGCUCUCUCCCUAAAGGGCAGAUGAUGAGGCGCGGGGAAAAGCUGUAUCCGGAAACCAAGCGCACCCUGGGGCUUCCCUCCAGCCAGUGGACCCCGCGCGCCUGCCUGGGGAAGUUUUCACGGCUUAGGACCGAGGACAAGCCACCAUACCCUGCCAAGAGACCAGGGAAUAUUUUGCGUCCCUCUCCGAGGCCAAGAUCUAAGCUGAAGCCACCUUUUCCAAGAAGAAAGUUAAAAAAAAAAUUUAACAAACUCAAAUAAUAAUAACCCAACAUGUUUCGUGUUCUUUGCCAUUGCAUCGAUUUUAUUGAUUUUCAUUCUGCAAACCUGGGAUUGUGCGCGCCCAGGCGGGGUGGCCGUCAAAACCCAGUCACCUCAGGGAGUGGGUGGGGGACAAUCCUCCAACACCGCGGCCGCGACCCGCCCUCACCCAAGCAGCUCGCCACCUCCCAGGCACAACGGAGCCUGCGCAAGACGCUAGGACACAAAUGACCCGGCCCCCAAGCUCCGGGGGUUUCAGUCCCGCCCCUCCUUCUCUUCAGUGCACUGCAGCGCUUCCCUCGUCCGCGCCCGCCCUCCCGGAUCACCCACUGUCUCUACCAACGCUGUUUUUUUUUUUUUUAAAGCCGAGCACGUGCAGUCGGCCUCUCCCCUGCCCAUCCGGCGCGGGAGGCGCCCACGCCUGCACCGUCACUUGCCGAGACUUUACCUGUGCAAUCCCCCGCGGCGCCCGCGGUCGCGCCGGUAACAGAGAAAUGGAAGGGAGGGCUGGGGGGUGGGAGGGACAGAGAACACCGCCCGACAGCCAGGUGUGCGGACCCAGGGCCUCCUCUCCGGACGGGUGCUCGGGCCCUGGCCGAACCAGCUCCGGUAGCCGAAUUACGGCGAGGAGAGCGGACCGGGGAGGGGCGAGGGGAACCGGCCUAGGCAGGGAGGGGCGGGCCCAGCGGCACUUCCGCUGGGGGUGUGGCUAGGGCUGCCGCGCAGGCCCCGCCCCCCCGCGCAGGCCCGCCUCCGGCCCGCCGAGCUCCGCCCCCGCUGGGUGAGCUGCAAGAGCUCGUGCCUGGGCCAGAGGCCUGGCGCUUAACCUGGAUUUUGCGGGGGUGGCGGUGGGCAGCUCUCUUUUUGCCACGUGGGGGUUCUUUCUUUUUAGGUCAUAGGAACAGAAGCAUCUACAUACUAGCAACCCAGGCCCAAACUUGCGUGUAAGAUUUGCUCAAACUUUGGUCAUUUGGUAGUCCUGAGACUAACCCGGGCCAGGGGCUCUCAAAGUCUCUCUGGGAUCCGACUAGAUGUCAGGAAUGCAGUCCAUGCUCGUGGGUUCCCACGUUUCUUUUCAGGAGGAACAAAACAGAAACUAACACUUCUUGAUUGUUCAUUUUGUGCCAGGUGCUAUCUAAGGACUUUGUAUGAAUUGUGUCCUCACAGCAACUCUCUAAGGUAGGUACAAUGAAUGCCCUGUUUUAUAGAUAAAAUCAUCGAGGCAAAGAAAGAAGAAAUCGGCCUGGACUUAUCCACAUCUCACCCAUCUCCUCAUCCCUUCUUUUUGUCUGUUCCCCAGCAUCCCAACCCAUCACUCUUGGAGAGCGUUUGGGUUGGGGGGGAUUUUAGUUCCUGGCAUGGAGACUAUCUGGCUAUUGGCCGUAGCCACUUGCAGUAGGAGGGCGUAUGAACAGAGGAGAAAGGUGUAAUGGGAUGGGUUCAACUCAGCCUCUGGCCAGCUCCCAGCCUAAUGGGCAAACAGGGCCAUUGAGCUUCCGUGUUGUUCCUCUGUAGUCCCGCCUGAAGCCAGAGUGUGUUUUCUUUAAAAAAGUAAAUAAGACCAUGUUUCUUUUCUACUUAAAAGCAUCUGAGUUUCCAUUGUUCUUAGGAUCAAGUUGAGCUGCCUCCUAUGGCUGGCGGUAAUGGCUUGAUCUGCCCCAGCUUGCCUUUCUGCCUCCUCUGCCUCUCCCCCCAGCACCUGCUACCCAGGGCUUCCUAUUGGUUCCCCAAUGUGCCAUGCUACUUCUCACCUCCAGGGCUUUUCCUUCUGUCUGGAAUGACUUUCUGGCCUUCUCUUCACCUGGUUCACUCCUCUUCUUCCUUCAGGCCUCAGUUUAAGGUUCAGUUCCUUGCAUCCUCCCACCUCCUGUAACCAUCUCCGAGAAUAGGAUUCCCUGUUGAGAGUCUGCCUCCUUCACCUGGUGGGAAACUCCCAGGGGACAGGACUGGCGCUGCUCCUUCAGGGAAUGAAUGAAGAAAGAGCAUUUAUAUGUACCAUCAGCUAUGCUGAAUGAAUGCUUACUUACGGGGUUCACUGCACUUCUGGGGGCCACCAGUAAGUAUUCUCUAUAGUCCCACAUCCCAAGGUGUUUUCAGUUUAAUGAGGAAGAUAACACAAAUCCCAUGAAAAGAUAUAAUGAUUAUUUUGAAUGUCUUUAUUGUAAAUGUCAAAUAAAUGGAUGCUGGAGGAGGUUGGAGAAGAGAAAUACCUGUGGUUUGACAGCUAUUUAUUCAGACUUUCAAAGUGUAAGAUGUGUUGGUUGACACAGUUUAAAGGAAAAACAUGCCCUGCCAUGACCACUCCUCCCAAUAUUCAGGUACAUAUGUCCCAAGACUCUAGCCUGGGCCCCUUUUUCUCUUCUUCACAUUUAUUGAGGUCACAGUUCAAUUCUUAUUAGUUUCUGAUGGAGCUGCAGCUAUAAGAACCUCCUAAUUGUUCUGCACAUCCUCAGCCUCUCCUGCCUCUAAUCCAUUGCACAUACUCCUGCCAGGUUAGUUUUCCUGACCACAUGUGCUCAAACAUCUGCAGUGGCUCCCAGCUGUCCACAUGUAACACUUGACUCUUCAUAAUCUACUUCCAAACUACUUUUUAAAAGCUAUAAAUUGCAUCCCAAGAUUACAAAAGAAACAUAUGUUCACCUCAACUAGCAAAACAUUGAAAGAUAUACAAAGAAAAACCUUAACCAUCUUCCACACCUCCUCACCGUUUCCCACCAAGUCUCCAAGUCUCCUCAUCCAGUGUUAAUGUCCUGGAGUAUACCUUCUACCCCUUUCACCAAUAUCUGUAUAAACUGUGCUCAUAUAAACUACACUCAUAUGUGUGGGGCUGUUAUGUUAUUGCUUGUUUAUAUAAAAAAGGAUUAUAUUGGGUGUCUCUGCAACUUGCUCAUUCUUUCUUGAAAAUAAAUGGCUGGCUCUGCAGAUAUAGAGCUAAUUUAUUUUUUAGCUACAUAGUAUUUCAUAGGAUGUAUAUACUACAACUUAUUCAACCACUCCCCUAUUAAUGGGCAUAUAGGUGACUGUUUUUUUUUCACUAAUAAAAUUUCUUGUGUCUACAUCCUUGCAAUCAGUGAUUUUAUUUCUAUAGGAUAGAUUGCCAAAAGUACAGCUACCUACGCAUCAGCCAAAUCAAAUUUCUUUGUACUCCUCACAUGUCCUGUGUGUUUUUCCAUUCCUUCUCUCUCCUCUCCUGGAAAGCCCUUGUCCCCAGUGUUUGUGUGUCCAACUUCCAAUCCUGCG
Microcebus murinus (gray mouse lemur) is the source of this 6208-nucleotide long non-coding RNA. Lineage: Eukaryota; Metazoa; Chordata; Mammalia; Primates; Cheirogaleidae. The record is from Ensembl.